Molecule: ribosomal RNA, 468 nt
Filed under: uncultured bacterium
Lineage: Bacteria
Description: partial 16S ribosomal RNA
Rfam family: Bacterial small subunit ribosomal RNA
Source: RNAcentral
GACGAACGCUGGCGGCGUGCUUAACACAUGCAAGUCGAACGGAAAGGCUCUGCUUUUGUGGGGUGCUCGAGUGGCGAACGGGUGAGUAACACGUGAGUAACCUGCCCUUGACUUUGGGAUAACUUCAGGAAACUGGGGCUAAUACCGGAUAGGAGCUCCUGCUGCAUGGUGGGGGUUGGAAAGUUUCGGCGGUUGGGGCUGGACUCGCCGCUUUUCAGCUUGUUGGUGGGGUAGUGGCUUACCAAGGCUUUGACGGGUAGCCGGCCUGAGAGGGUGACCGGCCACAUUGGGACUGAGAUACGGCCCAGACUCCUACGGGAGGCAGCGGUGUGGGAUAUUGCACAAUGGGCGGAAGCCUGAUGCAGCAACGCCGCGUGCGGGAUGACGGCCUUCGGGUUGUAAACCGCUUUCGCCUGUGACGAAGCGUGAGUGACGGUAAUGGGUAAAGAAGCACCGGCUAACUACGUG